ACUCUCUCCAGAGUUUCAUCCCAAAAAUUGAUAACUCAAAGAUGCAAGCGUUCUUUCGCUGUAAUCAGCCUGGACUCAUUUAUCUUUGAUCACAAAAGCAACAUCCCUAUGUCCACCGCUAUUUGAAGCCGGAGGGGUGGGGGCUCCCGGGAUGCGAGGACACACCCCCAUAUGGUUCAAAACCGAGAUAAAAUCCCGUUCUUGGAGGGUCCCAGCGGCGGCGUUGUCGUUGUUCUUUCCGUUUCUUCCCCUCUCUCUCGCCCUCCGUCUCCAAACUCUCCCACAGUCACGCUCUCUCUUCUCUCUUCUCUUCUCUUUUCUUUUCUCUUUCUUCACACUUUCUCUUGUUUCUUUUUCUUUUCUUAAAGGCUUUUUGUACCCGAGCUUCUGAUCUCCGGGAUGGAGCAACCGGUUUCCUCUCUCUCUCCCGCUCGUUCCCGUCUGUCCUCUUAGUUUUCCUCGUUUCUUUUCUUUUUGUAUGUAUUUUUUUGGGAAGGGAAUGGAGGAGAGGUAGUGGGAGCUAGGGUUUCUACGUCCGACUGGUUCCGCCGGUUCUGUGAUCCAAGAUUCAGGGGUGUGGGAUCUUGGAUUUUUUUCCAAUGGGGAAAUCACCUGGGAAAUGGAUCAAGACACUUCUUUCUGGGAAGAAAUCGGCUAGAUCUCAUGCAACAAAUGGAACGGAUGCUUCGUUGCAGAAAUCUGGAACUGAUAAAGGUUAUAGUGGAGGAAAAGGACCUCCUGCAUUGGCUGGUAAUUCUCCAGUAAUUUCUGAACCAGUACUUGUCAGCACCGGCAAUAAUGAAAUUAUCCCAAAUUUAGAAAAGGGAACACCUUCCACUUUAGUUGGUGAUGGAGUAGUUCUUUCUGCAACAAGUCAGGAUGCAGAGAAACAGGAAUCUGCCAGAUACGAGGCAUCGAAUGAUCCUGCAAAACUCAGAGAAGAGCAAGCUGCUAUAAAGGCACAGGCAGCUUUUCGAGCUUAUCUGGCACGUCGGGCAUUUCAUGCGCUAAAAGGUAUUAUUAGGCUCCAGGCCCUAAUUCGUGGGCAUCUGGUAAGGAGACAAGCUGUUGCAACCCUACGUGCUUGGCAGGGUAUUGUAAAGUUGCAAGCUGUGGUUCGUGGCCAAAGAGUUAGGUGUUCUAGUAUCGGAUUUAAAAUACAUACAAAGCUUGCUCAAGGAAAUGCUGCGGUAACUACCAUAAUCUGGGGGGAUGCUAAACCCUUGGAUUCUUGGAAGGAGAAACUCUUGACGAAUGCAUUUUUUCGCAAGCUUCUUUCUUCAUCGCAUAUUGCAAAGCCUCUACAAAUACAGUAUGAUCAAGGGGACCCCAAUCCAGUCUUCAGCUGGUUGGAGAGAUGGACAUCCACUCAUUUUUGGAAGCUGCUUGAACGGCCAAAAAAGGCUACUGAUGCAAAAUCUCAUACAAGAAGGUGCAGUUAUGCUAUGGAAACCGAAUCAGCCAGAUCAAAGCGCAGUGUUCGGAGGAACUCUGCCGUGAAUGUUGACCCUGCUCAAACCAAUGUCACAUCUGAACCUGAGAAAACGAAAUGCAACCUGAGAAAAGUCUCUGGCUCUCCUGCUGACUCAGUACAAGAUCGUCCACAGACUGAGAUUGAAAAGGUCAAGCGUAAUCUAAGAAGGGUAUCUAAUUCCAUCACAGAGGCUUCUGAUCAUCUAGAGGUUGAAACUGAGAAACCAAUUCGGAAUGUGAGAAAGGUGUCAAGCUCCCCUUUUGAUGUUCCAGACCAAGGCCUUGAGAAAGGAGUUAUUCCGACUCCUGAGACCAAGCCUGAGGUGGAAACUGUCUCCAAAUCUGCAGUAAUGGAGGGACCUGCUGAUGCAUUGCCUGAUGACUCUUCUGCAACUGAAUUGCAUCAAUUGCAGAGAAUUGACAAUGAAGAGAAAGCUUUGGUGGUGAAUGGGGAGUUAAGCUCCAUGGAAGAACUACCUUGCCUCGAGAGUCAGAAAACCAAGAAGGGAAGGUCUUCUUUCUCAGCAAGAUCAGAAUAUGCGGAAAAUGGUUUACAGAACACUCCAGUCUUGCCAAGCUAUAUGGCGACUACUGAAUCUUCAAAGGCGAAAUUCCGGGGACAGAUUUCGCCAAGGUUUGGCUCAGAUUCAGUUGACAAAAAUGUUGACAAAAAUGGCAUCUCUCGUCGUCAUUCUCUGCCAUCUUCUACCAAUGGCAAGUUGAGUUCACCACGAACACAGAUACUAUUUCCAGCUAAUGGCAAGUGGGCCAAUAGAAGUUUCUUUUCAUCUAGAGAUGGAAAUGGUGUACUUUUGGGGUGUUAACUGUGCUUGGAUGUGUUCAGUAUGCUCUUGCCAGAGAUUGUGUACUAUGAAUGAAAAGGGCGCUUAGAGUAGAAUGGAGACGGUGAUGGAAGAAUGGGAAUUCAAAUAUAGCUUUGCACAAGAUGUAAAUGCUGAGAUAUCUGUGCACUUUUUGUCAUUAUUGUUUGUUUUGUGGUGUAAAGUUCUGUUGUCAUCCCCAAAUGGUUUGAUGAAUAUCUGGAAUAUGGUGUGUUUGAUGCCGUGUCUUAUUGUUGGGUUCAUGUGUGUUAUGUAUGUAUAGCUAAAAGCCUUUCAGGUUUGGUUUGUAUUUGUUCGAGCCUGCUAGAUCUACUGUUAAAUUUCUUCUGUAGUAGGACCACAAGUGAGAACUUGUUACUUGAAUGCACUCAUCUUAUUUGGAUAUCUGGA
This is a non-coding RNA of Phoenix dactylifera (date palm), 2705 nucleotides long. The record is from RefSeq and is a predicted model, not a curated record. Lineage: Eukaryota; Viridiplantae; Streptophyta; Magnoliopsida; Arecales; Arecaceae.